AUGGCGGACGAGGGGACGGCCAACUGCAUCGACAUCAUCCUCGCCAUCAUCCUGCCGCCGCUCGGCGUCUUCUUCAAGUUCGCCUGCUUCUUUGUGCCAGGUGAACCAUGGCGAACUUGUUCUGUGUCUAGUACAAGCCGUUUGUCUGAGACGCGAGCCACGGUUCAUGGUGCUGCCUACGUGUGUGUUGAUGCUGUUGUACAUCUGUGUUGUUGUCCGUGCUUGAUGAUUAGCCUCCUCUCCUGUCACCUUCCCUUCUCCAGUGUAGUGUAUCCAUCCAGUUGUGUUGUUCCUCCGCGCAUUUUCGUCGUCCAUGUACUUUGA
RNAcentral lists this ribosomal RNA (324 nucleotides) under Triticum aestivum (bread wheat). RNAcentral's name for it is "partial small subunit ribosomal RNA". The record is from RNAcentral. Lineage: Eukaryota; Viridiplantae; Streptophyta; Magnoliopsida; Poales; Poaceae.